GACGAACGCUGGCGGCGUGCCUAAUACAUGCAAGUCGAACGCAGUGGGGCCGGGUGAGUAACCCGUUGGUAACCUCCCAUCAGAGGGGAUAACACUUGGCAACAGGUGCUAAACCGAUACUGAUGGAUGGACCCGCGGUGCAUUAGCUAGUUGGGGAGGUAAAGGCUCACCAAGGCCACGAUGCAUAGCUGGUCUGAGAGGGUGAUCAGCCACACUGGGACUGAGACACGGCCCAGACUCCUACGGGAGGCAGCAGUGGGGAAUAUUGGGCAAUGGGCGAAAGUCUGAACGAGCAAUGCCGCGUGAGUGAAGAAGGUUUUCGGAUCGUAAAACUCUGUAGGUAGAGAAGCGGUAUCUAAAGAGAAAGCACCGGCUAACUACGUGCCAGCAGCCGCGGUAAUAC
Molecule: ribosomal RNA, 403 nt
Filed under: uncultured bacterium
Lineage: Bacteria
Description: partial 16S ribosomal RNA
Rfam family: Bacterial small subunit ribosomal RNA
Source: RNAcentral